Molecule: RNase P RNA, 350 nt
Filed under: Bacillota bacterium
Lineage: Bacteria; Bacillati; Bacillota
Also listed under: 6 other names
Description: RNase P RNA component class A
Rfam family: Bacterial RNase P class A
About the family: Ribonuclease P (RNase P) is a ubiquitous endoribonuclease, found in archaea, bacteria and eukarya as well as chloroplasts and mitochondria.
Source: RNAcentral
UAAGCAGAGCAGACGAUCGCGGCCCUGUCUUUGACAGGGGUGAGGAAAGUCCGGGCUUCACAGGGCAGGAUACCGGUUAACGGCCGGCGGAGGCGACUCCCGGGACAGUGCAACAGAGACAUACCGCCUUUCUCUUUGGAGAGAGGUAAGGGUGAAAAGGCAGUGUAAGAGACUACCGUCCGUGCAGUAAUGUGCGGAGCCAUGCAAACCCUAUCCGAAGCAAGACCGAAACGGAAACCAUGGAUUGGCCCGAUCCGUUUCCAGGUGCGUCGCUUGAGGCUGCCGGCAACGGCAGUCCUAGAAAGAUGAUCGUCCAACGACAGAACCCGGCUUAUCGCUCUGCUUAUAUU